UACGUAGGGGGCAAGCGUUAUCCGGAUUUACUGGGUGUAAAGGGAGCGUAGACGGCGAUGCAAGUCUGAAGUGAAAGGCGGGGGCCCAACCCCCGGACUGCUUUGGAAACUGUAUGGCUGGAGUGCAGGAGAGGUAAGUGGAAUUCCUAGUGUAGCGGUGAAAUGCGUAGAUAUUAGGAGGAACACCAGUGGCGAAGGCGGCUUUCUGGACUGUAACUGACACUGAGGUACGAAAGCGUGGGGAGCAAACAGG
RNAcentral lists this ribosomal RNA (253 nucleotides) under uncultured bacterium. RNAcentral describes it as "partial 16S ribosomal RNA". It matches the Rfam family "Bacterial small subunit ribosomal RNA", at positions 524 to 776 of the family's 1533-position model. The record is from RNAcentral.